AAUAAGAAAUAGGUUUUAACCCGCGGUAUACCGCGGAGAUAAUUUAUUUUUUAAAGUUAAUAUAUAUAAAAGUUUGCAAAUUGUAUUUAUAUUUUAUAAUUUACAAUUGUUAUUAAGUAAUGUCCUGCCAAAUCCGUCCCGUAAAAAAACUCAUUUAUUUUAUUAAUGUUGAUCUUAUUUAUAAUAUGUUUAUGAACCAUUGUCUAAAUAUUUUUUAAUUUUGUAGUAAUUAAAUGCUAUCAAAUAUCUCUGUGGUUUGAUGAUUAUAAUCGAAUUGUUAUACUAAUGCAGAAAAGCAAUAUCAAAAAUGAUAAUUUUGUAGUAAUUAAAUAAUAUUAAAUAUUUUGGAACUUUUAUUUUAGUAACUAAACGUGUAGUUAACAUGGAAAGAUUUUACGAAGAUUGUUAAAUGUCAAAUAUUUAAUUCGAAGAUUUUCUUUCUAAUUAUCAAAAACAAACAUUAAUUCAGUGGCAGCCAUUGUAAAUAAGUCUCAACUACAAGAUUUAUUUUACAAAAUAGCUCCAAAAAUGUAUAUGUAGAUUGGUUAUAUAGAAACAAAUUACUUGAUAGAAUACAUAUAAAUGUUUUUAAAAUAAAAUUUAAUUAAGUAAAUAAAUAAAGACUAUAAACAGAAACAUAGAGGAUAUAUCAA
This 653-nucleotide small RNA is filed under the name Arabidopsis thaliana (thale cress). RNAcentral's name for it is "ATSL022470". Lineage: Eukaryota; Viridiplantae; Streptophyta; Magnoliopsida; Brassicales; Brassicaceae. The record is from RNAcentral.